GUUAGUUUGGGAAACAAAAACCCCAAACCCAUCUCUAUUUCUCUCACCCCAACUCCUUUCCUUCCCCGUGAAAACCCAAACCCGAGCCCUCUCUCUCUUUCUUUGAUCCCUUACACUGCUGCCCCGUCAGCCACCCCUUGCGGGUGUCCCGUUUUCCCCGGCGCUUGUCGUGCUGUCGUUUCCCCCUCGCGGCGGUGUUUCUGAUGUGCUUCUGUCCCCUGCUCGCGUCUUCUCUCUCCUCUUCGUGGUGUUGUUGUUGUGUGUGGUUAUUGCUCGAGGUCGCUGCUGGGGUUGUCGCGUUGGUGCCGCUCGCUCCUUAAUUUGUCCAUUCCCAUCGGCAUUCAAUCCACAUCGUUCUUCAGUUGAUUAGAGAAUUUACUCACCUCCCAUCAGUUUCAACGCAAUUGGGAAGCUGCAAAUUUAGACAAUUUGACAACGAAAUAGGGAAAUUUCAAUUGAAAUGCUGGCUGUUGAAUAUGAAAAUAAUGCAAUGAUCGUAAAGGUUGACACUGAUGACGAGUAUGAAUUUGCCCGUGACAUGCAGGAUGAUGAUGGAGAUAAUGGAUUAGACUUGCAGGUAGGCAUGAUGCUUCUGGAAUCAUGCAUGCAAGGCGACACAUGGAAUUAAAGACGAAGAAAGACACGAUCUUAAGAUUAAUUUAGGAUUGGGGAGAGUUAUAUGUAUUAUGACUGGUUUUUAGAUCAACUAUUUAUAUGUUGAAAGCAAUGAUAUGUUUUCAAUUGAUGAAUACUACUCAUUGGCUCUUUUUUUACAAUGACCGUUGAGUGAACUCAAUAUCUAUAAUAUUAUUCUAUUU
Long non-coding RNA from Beta vulgaris subsp. vulgaris (sugar beet), 818 nucleotides. RefSeq lists it as uncharacterized. Lineage: Eukaryota; Viridiplantae; Streptophyta; Magnoliopsida; Caryophyllales; Amaranthaceae. The record is from RefSeq and is a predicted model, not a curated record. The transcript has 4 exons.